CUUCCUCAGUCCUCCCAUCCUGACUUGUCGCGCUGCCGCGAACGCCCGCCUACUGGCCCUCACGCUGGAGGGGGCGGAGAAAGCGCUCAUGCGCAAGCGCAGUUUACUGAGCAGGUCUGUGUAGAAGUUGAGUGAGUCCUAGAUUGGAGAACAGCAAAGAAAUGUUCAAGCUGGAAGUCAGCUGGAAGAUGCAGCAAAUAUAUGAGGAGUCAUCCAUUCCUAGGGGAGAGUCACGAAAUCGCUCCAGGUCACUGUGUCAGAAGAGCAAAGGAGCAUUAGAUGUGAAAACGCUCCACGGAGCUGCAGAGCCCUAUAAAGGUGAGAAGAUGGAGGAUCAAAGAUGACAAGUAACUUGUCAAAGGUAACAUAACAAGGAAGUGGCAGAGCCGGGAUUCCACAAAGGGGUGUGUGACCCCACAGCCUGCACUCUCCAAUUCACUAGAAUGCCUCCUCUCAAGAGCUCUGGGAGAAGUGUCAUCGGAGAUGAAGAGAUUACAGGUGAGAAAACCGAG
Long non-coding RNA from Myotis daubentonii (Daubenton's bat), 512 nucleotides. RefSeq lists it as uncharacterized. The record is from RefSeq and is a predicted model, not a curated record. The transcript is spliced from 4 exons. NCBI's taxonomy places the organism in Eukaryota, Metazoa, Chordata, Mammalia, Chiroptera, Vespertilionidae.